This 223-nucleotide ribosomal RNA is filed under the name Salmonella enterica subsp. enterica serovar Anatum. Its description in RNAcentral is "partial 23S ribosomal RNA". It matches the Rfam family "Bacterial large subunit ribosomal RNA", at positions 1180 to 1378 of the family's 2925-position model. Lineage: Bacteria; Pseudomonadati; Pseudomonadota; Gammaproteobacteria; Enterobacterales; Enterobacteriaceae. The record is from RNAcentral.
UUACGAUUGACGGAGCGAAGCGACGUCAAAGCGUAUACAAAGUCGAGUCGGUUUAAGGAUACGUUCGUUGGGUAGGGGAGCGUUCUGUAAGCCUGUGAAGGUGGCCUGUGAGGGUUGCUGGAGGUAUCAGAAGUGCGAAUGCUGACAUAAGUAACGAUAAAGCGGGUGAAAAGCCCGCUCGCCGGAAGACCAAGGGUUCCUGUCCAACGUUAAUCGGGGCAGG